RNAcentral lists this ribosomal RNA (447 nucleotides) under uncultured bacterium. RNAcentral describes it as "bacterial SSU rRNA". It matches the Rfam family "Bacterial small subunit ribosomal RNA", at positions 329 to 792 of the family's 1533-position model. The record is from RNAcentral.
UUCCAGACUCCUACGGGAGGCAGCAGUCGGGAAUAUUGCGCAAUGGAGGAAACUCUGACGCAGUGACGCCGCGUAUAGGAAGAAGGUUUUCGGAUUGUAAACUAUUGUCGUUGGGGAAGAGAAAGGACAGUACCUAAGGAGGAAGCUCCGGCUAACUACGUGCCAGCAGCCGCGGUAAUACGUAGGGAGCGAGCGUUAUCCGGAAUUAUUGGGUGUAAAGGGUACGUAGACGGGAAAGCAAGUCAGUUGUGAAAUCCCUCGGCUUAACUGAGGAACUGCAACUAAAACUACUUUUCUUGAGUGCAGGAGAGGUAAGUGGAAUUCCUAGUGUAGCGGUGAAAUGCGUAGAUAUUAGGAGGAACACCAGUGGCGAAGGCGACUUACUGGACUGUAACUGACGUUGAGGCACGAAAGUGUGGGGAGCAAACAGGAUUAGAUACCCGCGUA